GAUGAAGAACGCAGCGAACUGCGAUAAGUAAUGUGAAUUGCAGAAUUCAGUGAAUCAUCGAGUCUUUGAACGCACAUUGCGCCCCCUGGCAUUCCGGGGGGCAUGCCUGUCCGAGCGUCAUUGCUGCCCUUCAAGCCCGGCUUGUGUGUUGGGUCGUCGUCCCCCCCGGGGGACGGGCCCGAAAGGCAGCGGCGGCACCGCGUCCGGCCCUCGAGCGUAUGGGGCUUUGUCACCCGCUCGAUUAGGGCCGGCCGGGCGCCAGCCGGCGUCUCCAACCUUCUAUUUUACCAGGUUGACCUCGGAUCAGGUAGGGAUACCCGCUGAACUUAAGCAUAUCAAUAAGCGGAGGA
This 350-nucleotide unclassified non-coding RNA is filed under the name soil metagenome. RNAcentral describes it as "partial contains 5.8S ribosomal RNA, internal transcribed spacer 2, and large subunit ribosomal RNA". The stretch from base 1 to 120 matches the Rfam family "5.8S ribosomal RNA", at positions 35 to 154 of the family's 154-position model. The record is from RNAcentral.